GACGAGGGGUCCAAGCGCUGUUCGGAAUCAUUGGGCGUAAAGCGGGUGUAGGUGGCUUUGUAAGUCAGGAGUGAAAUCCCCGAGCUUAACUUGGGAAGUGCUUUUGAAACUGCAGGGCUUGAGUGUGGGAGAGGAUCGUGGAAUUCCAGGUGUAGUGGUGAAAUACGUAGAUAUCUGGAGGAACACCGGUGGCGAAGGCGGCGAUCUGGCCCAACACUGACACUGAGACCCGAAAGCGUGGGGAUCAAACAGG
This 253-nucleotide ribosomal RNA is filed under the name uncultured bacterium. RNAcentral's name for it is "partial 16S ribosomal RNA". It matches the Rfam family "Bacterial small subunit ribosomal RNA", at positions 524 to 776 of the family's 1533-position model. The record is from RNAcentral.